GAUGAACGCUGGCGGCGUGCCUAAUACAUGCAAGUCGAGCGAACAGAUGAGGAGCUUGCUCCUCUGACGUUAGCGGCGGACGGGUGAGUAACACGUGGAUAACCUACCUAUAAGACUGGGAUAACUUCGGGAAACCGGAGCUAAUACCGGAUAAUAUAUUGAACCGCAUGGUUCAAUAGUGAAGGACGGUUUUGCUGUCACUUAUAGAUGGAUCCGCGCCGCAUUAGCUAGUUGGUAAGGUAACGGCUUACCAAGGCAACGAUGCGUAGCCGACCUGAGAGGGUGAUCGGCCACACUGGAACUGAGACACGGUCCAGACUCCUACGGGAGGCAGCAGUAGGGAAUCUUCCGCAAUGGGCGAAAGCCUGACGGAGCAACGCCGCGUGAGUGAUGAAGGUCUUCGGAUCGUAAAACGCUGUUAUUAGGGAAGAACAAAUGUGUAAGUAACGAUGCACGUCUUGACGGUACCUAAUCAGAAAGCCACGGCUAACUACGU
This 496-nucleotide ribosomal RNA is filed under the name uncultured bacterium. RNAcentral describes it as "partial 16S ribosomal RNA". It matches the Rfam family "Bacterial small subunit ribosomal RNA", at positions 28 to 506 of the family's 1533-position model. The record is from RNAcentral.